GACGAACGCUGGCGGCGUGCUUAACACAUGCAAGUCGAACGGAAAGGCCCUGCUUUUGUGGGGUGCUCGAGUGGCGAACGGGUGUGUAACACGUGAGUAACCUGCCCUUGACUUUGGGAUAACUUCAGGAAACUGGGGCUAAUACCGGAUAGGAGCUCCUGCUGCAUGGUGGGGGUUGGAAAGUUUCGGCGGUUGGGGAUGGACUCGCGGCUUAUCAGCUUGUUGGUGGGGUAGUGGCUUACCAAGGCUUUGACGGGUAGCCGGCCUGAGAGGGUGACCGGCCACAUUGGGACUGAGAUGCGGCCCAGACUCCUACGGGAGGGAGCAGUGGGGAAUAGUGCACAAUGGGCGGAAGCCUUAUGCAGCAACGCCGCGUGCGAGAAGACGGCCUUCGUGUUGUAAACCGCUUUCGCCUGUGGCGAAGCGUGAGUGACGGUAAUGAGUAAAGAAGCACCGGCUAACUACGUG
RNAcentral lists this ribosomal RNA (468 nucleotides) under uncultured bacterium. RNAcentral's name for it is "partial 16S ribosomal RNA". It matches the Rfam family "Bacterial small subunit ribosomal RNA", at positions 28 to 507 of the family's 1533-position model. The record is from RNAcentral.